This 375-nucleotide ribosomal RNA is filed under the name uncultured bacterium. RNAcentral describes it as "bacterial SSU rRNA". It matches the Rfam family "Bacterial small subunit ribosomal RNA", at positions 524 to 898 of the family's 1533-position model. The record is from RNAcentral.
UACGUAGGUGGCGAGCGUUAUUCGGAUUCACUGGGCGUAAAGGGUCCGUAGGGGGUCUGCCAAGUCCGAUGUGAAAGCCCACGGCUCAACUGUGGAACGGCAUUGGAUACUGGCGGGCUGGAGUCUGCGAGGGGUGAGCGGAAUUCCUGGUGUAGCGGUGGAAUGCGUAGAUAUCAGGAAGAACACCGAUGGCGAAGGCGGCUCACUGGCGCAGUACUGACCCUGAGGGACGAAAGCGUGGGUAGCAAACAGGAUUAGAUACCCUGGUAGUCCACGCCUUAAACGUUGUGCACUAGAUGUGGGGGGUUUGACCCCUUCCGUGUCCAAGCUAACGCGAUAAGUGCACCGCCUGGGGACUACGGCCGCAAGGCUAAA